Molecule: ribosomal RNA, 256 nt
Filed under: uncultured bacterium
Lineage: Bacteria
Description: partial 16S ribosomal RNA
Rfam family: Bacterial small subunit ribosomal RNA
Source: RNAcentral
UACGGAGGGGGCUAGCGUUGUUCGGAAUUACUGGGCGUAAAGCGCACGUAGGCGGCUUUGCAAGUUAGAGGUGAAAGCCCGGGGCUCAACUCCGGAAUUGCCUUUAAAACUGCAUCGCUAGAAUUGUGGAGAGGUAAGUGGAAUUCCGGAGUGUAGAGGUGAAAUUCGUAGAUAUUCGGAAGAACACCAGUGGCGAAGGCAGCUCUCUGGGACGGUACUGACGCUGAGACGCGAAAGCGUGGGGAGCGAACGAGGA